This 68-nucleotide transfer RNA is filed under the name Marmota monax (woodchuck). RNAcentral describes it as "tRNA.Gly". The record is from RNAcentral. Lineage: Eukaryota; Metazoa; Chordata; Mammalia; Rodentia; Sciuridae.
GGCUUGUGGCUCAGAGGUAGAGUGUUCGCCUACCAUGUGUGAGGGACUGGGUUCUAUCCUCAGCACCA